Molecule: ribosomal RNA, 433 nt
Filed under: uncultured bacterium
Lineage: Bacteria
Description: partial 16S ribosomal RNA
Rfam family: Bacterial small subunit ribosomal RNA
Source: RNAcentral
AACGAACGCUGGCGGCAUGCCUAACACAUGCGAGUCGAACGAGACCUUCGGGUCUAGUGGCGCACGGGUGCGUAACGCGUGGGAACCUGCCCUUAGGCUCGGAAUAACUCCCCGAAAGGGGUGCUAAUACCGGGUAAUUUCUUCGGACCAAAGAUUUAUCGCCUUUGGAUGGGCGCGCGUUGGAUUCGCUAGUUGUUAGAGUAAGAGCCUACAACGGCGACGAUCCAUGGCUGGUCUGAGAGGAUGAUCAGCCACACUGAUGCCGACACACGGCCCAGCCUCGUGCACCAGGCGGCAGUCGAGGUCAGCGGAGGAUCGGCGAGGGGCUAGUAGAUCAAGGCCGUGAGGGAGAUGAAGGCGUUAGGGUUGCAAAUCACUUGUACCCGGUAUGAUGAGAGGAGGGGCAGGAGAAUAAGCUCCGGCUAACGUCGUA